This 236-nucleotide long non-coding RNA is filed under the name Vitis vinifera (wine grape). Its description in RNAcentral is "long non-coding RNA (VVIN_LNC002146)". Lineage: Eukaryota; Viridiplantae; Streptophyta; Magnoliopsida; Vitales; Vitaceae. The record is from RNAcentral.
UUUAAAUGUUUAAGAAUCUCAGGAAUAAACUCGAAAAUUCAUCAAAGGACCAAAUGGAUAAAAGAUCGAGACGCUUGGAAGACUUGUGAUCAUAGGAAACUAAUGUAAGAUGAAUGCAUGAGUGCACUUAGGAUUUUCACUCGUUUCAUGCAUCUUUGAAAACUCGGUUUAUUCUUUAAAAUGUCGAUUUCAUUAAAACCCAAGUUUUUAACUAAUGUACCUUAGGCAAAAUGUUU